GUGCUCAUUUCAACAGCACAUACACUAUAAUUAGGAACAAUGCAGAGAAGAUUAGCAUGGCCCCUAUGCAAGGAUGUGCAAAUUCAUGAAGCAUUACAUUUUUUU
Sciurus vulgaris (Eurasian red squirrel) is the source of this 105-nucleotide small nuclear RNA. The record is from Ensembl. Lineage: Eukaryota; Metazoa; Chordata; Mammalia; Rodentia; Sciuridae.